UGAGAACACAGCAGGGCGACUGGAGAGACGCGUGAGCAGUCGGGGGGUGACGGAUAAGUGACAUGGGAACCCUCGAAGCUCCCAGCACGAGUCAGGGAAAUGCUGCUCCGCUUGGGACAGUGCCUGGUUGAGGAGCCCUCAUGCUGACAGCAUGUCCAAGUCCUGUUCUCCCCGACACCUACCUCCUGCAGGCGGCGGGCGGCACUUUCAGCGAGAGGCCUUGCUCCGAGCUGGGCCUCGGAGACUCUCGCCUCUGCAGGGCUGGAGCUGCCCCCGCCAUGGUGACAGCACACAAGGCAGCGUGCACAGAGGUCACACAGGCCGCGCACAUGUCCAGGGAGGACGAGCUGACCCUCCGCGUGGGCGAAGGAGCCCCUCCGAGACGGGGAUCAGAAACCUAGGGGUGCCUAACGGAAAUCAGCACCCUCUACCUGCUGACUGUGCCCACCGUUUCCCUAGGUGCCCAGAGCUUCCGACAGAGUGAGGCUAAGGAGAUUCCAGGGGCAGGUGAACACACAGAGCUGGCACAGGGCAGCAGGCCUGGGGGGCUUCUGUUUGCCCAGGAGGGGGAGUGGAAGAGGAAUUCAGAUUAGGGCCAGAGU
This is a long non-coding RNA of Condylura cristata (star-nosed mole), 602 nucleotides long. RefSeq lists it as uncharacterized. The transcript has 3 exons. The record is from RefSeq and is a predicted model, not a curated record. NCBI's taxonomy places the organism in Eukaryota, Metazoa, Chordata, Mammalia, Eulipotyphla, Talpidae.